UCAAGAACAUUUGGCAAUGGGCGAAAGCCUGACCACGCGACGCCGCGUGACUGAUGAAGUCUUUCGGGACGUAAAGGUCUUUUAUGAGGGAGGAAGUUAUUGACGUUACCUCAUGAAUAAGGGGCUCCUAACUCUGUGCCAGCAGGAGCGGUAAUACAGAGGCCCCAAGCAUUAUCCGGAAUCACUGGGCGUAAAGGGUGUGUAGGCGGCUCAUUUAGUCUUUCGUUAAAGCUCCGGACUUAAUCCGGGAAAUGCGGAGGAAACGGGUGAGCUCAGAGGACGCGAGAGGUAGAGGGAACUCAUGGUGUAGGGGUGAAAUCCGUUGAUAUCAUGGGGAACACCAAAUGCGAAGGCACUCUACUGGCGCGCUCCUGACGCUGAAACACGAAAGCGUGGGAAUCGAACGGGAUUAGAUACCCGGGUAGUCC
RNAcentral lists this ribosomal RNA (428 nucleotides) under uncultured bacterium. RNAcentral's name for it is "bacterial SSU rRNA". It matches the Rfam family "Bacterial small subunit ribosomal RNA", at positions 355 to 796 of the family's 1533-position model. The record is from RNAcentral.